GGGCCCGUAGUACACCGGUAAUACGUCGCAAUGGCAUUGCGAAAUAGGGAGUUCGAUUCUCCCCGGGUCCA
RNAcentral lists this transfer RNA (71 nucleotides) under Candidatus Shapirobacteria bacterium CG_4_10_14_0_8_um_filter_39_15. RNAcentral's name for it is "tRNA-Ala". It matches the Rfam family "tRNA". Rfam says of the family: Transfer RNA (tRNA) molecules are approximately 80 nucleotides in length. Their secondary structure includes four short double-helical elements and three loops (D, anti-codon, and T loops). Lineage: Bacteria; Candidatus Shapironibacteriota. The record is from RNAcentral. RNAcentral also lists the same sequence under 2 other names.